UACGGGGGGGGCAAGCGUUGUUCGGAAUUACUGGGCGUAAAGGGCUCGUAGGUGGCCAACUAAGUCAGACGUGAAAUCCCUCAGCUUAACUGGGGAACUGCGUCUGAUACUGGAUGGCUUGAGUUUGGGAGAGGGAUGCGGAAUUCCAGGUGUAGCGGUGAAAUGCUUAGAUAUUGCACAGAACACCAAUUGCGAAGGCAGCUCGCUAAGCUGUAACUGACGCUGAGGCACGAAAGUGUGGGUAGCAAACAGG
Molecule: ribosomal RNA, 253 nt
Filed under: uncultured bacterium
Lineage: Bacteria
Description: partial 16S ribosomal RNA
Rfam family: Bacterial small subunit ribosomal RNA
Source: RNAcentral